CGGAGCGUAGCGCAGUCUGGUAGCGCACCUGCUUCGGGAGCAGGGGGUCGGAGGUUCGAAUCCUCUCGCUCCGACCA
This 77-nucleotide transfer RNA is filed under the name Rhodobacter sp. RNAcentral's name for it is "tRNA-Pro". It matches the Rfam family "tRNA". From Rfam's summary of the family: Transfer RNA (tRNA) molecules are approximately 80 nucleotides in length. Their secondary structure includes four short double-helical elements and three loops (D, anti-codon, and T loops). Lineage: Bacteria; Pseudomonadati; Pseudomonadota; Alphaproteobacteria; Rhodobacterales. RNAcentral also lists the same sequence under 56 other names. The record is from RNAcentral.